UACGAAGGGUGCAAGCGUUACUCGGAAUUACUGGGCGUAAAGCGUGCGUAGGUGGUUUGUUAAGUCUGAUGUGAAAGCCCUGGGCUCAACCUGGGAAUUGCAUUGGAUACUGGCAGGCUAGAGUGCGGUAGAGGGUAGUGGAAUUCCGGGUGGAGUGGUGAAAUGCGUAGAGAUCCGGAGGAACACCAAAGGCGAAGGCAGUGUCCUGGGGAGUACCUGACG
RNAcentral lists this ribosomal RNA (222 nucleotides) under uncultured bacterium. RNAcentral's name for it is "partial 16S ribosomal RNA". It matches the Rfam family "Bacterial small subunit ribosomal RNA", at positions 524 to 745 of the family's 1533-position model. The record is from RNAcentral.